CACUGCCAUUUUCUGUGACUAAACAACUACUCCUGCUUUCACUGAGUGCAGGACUCACAUGCUUUCAUCUAUCUGUGGGGAAUUUUCUUCAUAUAAAUAACAAUGGCAUCAUUGAUACAGUGAUUUUCUGGGGAAGGUCUUGCAAGUCAGACAGAAACUCCAUCUAGCAACCAUUUAGGCAACAAAUAAUAUCUUUAAUGUCCUGAAAUUCUGGUAUUUAAUGUUUCAGGGGUAGCUUUUAUUUAUCAAUCUGUACUUCACCUACCUGCCUCAGGUGCUAGUGGCAGCUGUUUGUUCUGGAUGAAAGGCAAAAAUAAAAGUCUUGCUGUAUUUUAGAGGUACUCAAACAGAUAUUUUUGCACUGUGAAAUCCCCACCGCCUUUAAAGUAAAAACCUUCUGAAACAGAAGAGAACACGGACACUUAAUUAACAUCUGGCAGUAUCCUGUAGUCAGUCAAAGCCUAUAAUCAUAGUUCAUUGUGCCACAGCUCAUGUGGGAAGCUACAUUUUGUGGAACCCAAAGCUUGCAAGGCAGCCAUCCCUGUGCUCCUGCAGACUGUACAGUAUGGAGCAGUGUAAAAGAAAGACACAAGGGGGUUUAUCAGGCACUGCCUGUUUUCAGUUACCAAAGUUCACACUGUAAUACGCGGACGAAGUGAGACAGGUAUUUUGGGUGGUCUUAUCACUGAGGCCAGCAUACAUUGACUUUAGUGGGUCCAGUGCAGAUUCCUCCUUUGUCAGUGGAAACGUGACACAGAAUAAUUUACUAAUCUCCUAAUGAUCUAUGAUCUUUAGUGCUCCAAGGAAUGGGAGAGAAAGGGAGAGUAGAAAGAUUUUCCUUAAAAUGUUUAUAUGAAUAUUGCUUUCACUCUAAGAGCGUCUUGCAGUAUUUCAUGUGCUUUUGCACUAAUUCAGUUAGGGGUGAAACUCAUAUUUCAAGAUUCACCUGCAGCCCAGGAACACAGGAACUGAAUCUGUGUGUUAGAUUAAUUCAGUGUGUUAGGUCAAAUUCAGAUUUCAGAAUUUCUAGAUGUGAGCUGGCCACAAUACAAAAGAGUCAGGAAGAACCUAACCACCAAGUAAAAUCAAAUAGUGAUUUGUUCUGUCAAAAUAAAAGUAAGAACAGUGAAACUCAUAGUACUUUUUUGUGUAAUCGCAUUUGAAAGGCCAUAGGAAAAAACCUGCCCAUUCUAAUCUUAGUACAUAGGGCUUUGACAUGGGACUCUCUAAAACUAUUUUCCCUACUCCCUUGAGUCUAUUUUCCAACUGUACAUCAAACUACUUACAGUGACAAGCUAUUCUACAAAUUUAUCACAUCACGUGGUUCUGUGAUGCUACUCUGCAUGACUGAAGGCCUUUGGAGAAAGUCCAGAGGAGAGGAGCAAGAAAGAGUCAGGGAAACAUGAUACACAAAGAAACCUUGAACUGAGGGUGUUCAGUCUGCAGGAAUGAAGAAUGCCAAAGGACAUGGUCACAGUCUUCCCCUACUGAAAAGUCUGGUGCAAAAGAGCACAGAGAUUUGUCCUCCAUGAAGACAAUAAAAUUAGCUUUGGUCUUGACCUGCAGAAGGGUGGAAGCAAGCUGGAUACUGGGAAAAUGUCAUUUUUUGGGGGAGUGAUUAUGGUAAGUUACUAUAACAGUAACAUGGUGAGGUAUUAAGGGCAGGCUAUAUAGAAACAGAAAUACUUUGUCCUUAGUGUUUACAAAUCCUAUGACUUUAUUGCCUCUUAACUAUUCUUUCCACUUCUCUUCCUAGUAACCUACUGCAUUGCUUCUUACUGUAAGUAUUCCAAAUAAAUGUUUCUUGUCUUCCAUAAAAAUGCAUUUAUCUGUAUGCUGCUUCUUCCAUCUCCUUCCCCUUCCCUUUUGCAGUUUUCAUCUCUCCAUUGCAGCUGUCCUUGAAGAUUUAAUUAACAAACCAAAAUAAAUUGAAAAAAUACAAUGUAAAGAGGUGAAUGGGAUUUUUGGUUGGCCUCCAGCAUCUCUCUGUAUUUGUGUUUACAAUUCUCUCAUAAUCAGCAAAUUUACAAUUUACAUUUUGUGCUUACAUCCAAACUGAUUGAUAGUCCUAAAAUUGAUGCUAAUGUUUCAGUUGAAGCAUCUGAAUUUUUUAUAAUUGUAACUGCUUUAUGUUGUAGUUUCCUAACAAGACUAAUAUUUUGCUUUCAUUUUUGCCCACAAGUUACUCAUUUUUCAUAGUGACGAGGACCUUGGAUCCAAUUUCAUGCUUAUGUUAUGGUAAUCCCAAAACUGUUUCAUGUAAACCAAAUAAACUUGCCUUGUAGGGGGGACAGACCUAGGAUUCUUUAGACAGCAUCCUAAUGGGCGAGGUUCUUUUGGCUGUCUUUAAUUCUUCAUUUUCUUUGUCACAUUUUGCCUCUUACUCUUGAUCUGACAAAUUUUAUUCUGGGUGAUGGACCCACUUCAAUCAGGAACUAGGAAUAUAUUUUGAAUAAGGAUUUGUAUGGCAGAUAAGGCAGUUUUUCACAGAGGCAGAAGACAGAUUUCAGAUGGGGUGGGCUCUCCCAUCACCAAACUAUUGCAGAGACAGGAGGGAAAACCACUGCUCCUCUGGCUGUGUUUAAAAGGAAGGAAUGAACACACAUUACAAUUUAGUGUUUUUAAAUUUAGUCUCAGAUCUGAGAUACUGUUGCUUGUAGCUCACAUUCACAGAAUUUUAGGAACUGUCGUUGGAGCAAACCCCUUGUAGGAGAAACCGAGUCUGUGAUUACAUGUACUGGUGCUCAGGCAUCUCUGUUUCAGGCACUGGAUGUGGGCCAGGCCAAUGAAUUUGUAACAUGCUGUAAUCCUGGACCAUACUGAAGAACAUCUGGGGUUUGAUUAAAAAUAUAUUUAGUUACAUGCUUACUUUCAAAUUCUUCUACGCAAUGGAUUUAUCAUAAACAGCUUAGUCCCAUUUCCCAGGGCUUGUGCUUUGUGCUCCCACUUGUUGCACCCCAUGGCUGCUAUCAGCACUAGUACUCAAUUACAGUGCCAUCAGCCACAAGUUUAUCAGGUGUUUUCUGUCACUGUGGAGAGACCUGUGGGUAGAACUGCCAAGCAGAUGCUGCUUAUUACCUCUUUUGCUGUAUUUUCGCAAAAUUAAAGAAAAAGGAACUUCUUUAAGCUGCAUAACACUUCUGUAAAUUAUAUCCUAUUCAAAACAGCCAAACAAUUUUUGCUACCCAUGUUUUGUGCCACACCGCCCUUCAAGACAACCUGGUGUAAAGCUAAGGAUGUUUUCCCAGGUGCUGAAUCCACACUAAUCCCUGAGAGGGUGGGAAA
This is a long non-coding RNA of Pezoporus occidentalis (night parrot), 3285 nucleotides long. RefSeq lists it as uncharacterized. The transcript is spliced from 2 exons. The record is from RefSeq and is a predicted model, not a curated record. NCBI's taxonomy places the organism in Eukaryota, Metazoa, Chordata, Aves, Psittaciformes, Psittacidae.